AUGUUGCGAAUACGACAGUAAUACCUACUACAGUAAGUACUUGCUCUGAAAGCGGUUGCGUUGAGUUGCUAUUUGUAAUUGGAUGCAUACAGUCUAGUACAGAAAGUGCAACAACAGUGCCAGACAUACCACUUGGAACAACACCUUCUGAAGUACCUAACGCUAUAACAACAGAUUCAGUGAUCUCAACUAGACCGACAACCGCAACAUCAACAACCCGAGAAACUCAAGAUGGAACAACACAUCCUCAUGUGCCUAGCACUAUAACAACUGAUUCAGUGUUCUCAACUAGACCAGUAGAAUUGUCUUGUAUUGAUAUCAUAGCUUGUAGUGACGAUCGAUGCAACCAAUAUAUUUCCCAAGUUUUCAGUGUUGAAGGCUCCUCUGGAUUAUCAACUACUGUCAUCACAACCGGUAAUGAA
This 422-nucleotide long non-coding RNA is filed under the name Anneissia japonica. RNAcentral describes it as "uncharacterized LOC117101047". Lineage: Eukaryota; Metazoa; Echinodermata; Crinoidea; Comatulida; Comatulidae. The record is from RNAcentral.